GGAAAACUCCCGUGCAGUGAUACCAUGUCGCCUUGCGGUAGUGAAGUUUCCACACCUCGGACCAGUUUCCUCUCCCCGAAACCUAACUUUAACUCAGGGAACCAGCGCAGAACGACUGCAACCUCUCAUUGAAGACGAAGUUCCAGGCCGACCGCGGUACUACAGGCAUUGUUUGCAGGAAACAGGAUCCCCCAUUUUGGUGAAGGGGGAAAUGGCGAACUUCGUGGUCAAUCUUCGUGUAACUACUUACACAUUUCGAAUACAAUCAUGGUGGUAAGCGUUCUGCCCGAGGGGGAAUGGUCCAGAAUGAGAGCAGAGGUGUGAGAGGAGGCUGAGAGGGGCACAAGGCGAGCCGUCCUCAGUGAAUGCAGGAACAACCAAGAGGAGCACUCCAUCGAGAAGUCUUAUUCUGUGGAGAUGUGUCAUCCAUGGAACCUGGUCUCUUGUUCCAUCGCCUCCCAGGCUUGUGGCUUUCCAAUGAGCUUGAAACUGUCGUGCUCACGCCAAAUGUUUUAUUGUGUAUUGCCUUGUGAAAGUGUUUUGUUAACUCUAUUGAUUAAAAUUGAUUAACUGUAUUCCCUCACUGAUGUUCUCCCCAGGCCAGCCUAUUAUGCAGACUCUGACUGCCAGGUCCGACAGGGCAGAGGGAGAAGAGGAGGACACAGAAACAUGGAUACUACCGGUAGCUUCAACCUGAGGGGGAAGAGAGAACACUAACGCCACAGUGGAACAUGAUUGCUUAUUAAUCUAGCAAAUAAGAUCAGGUGUCAUCAUUGUUUACCACAUGGUAAAUGUGGUAAACAAUGAUUUUAAUUUCCCCUGAGGAGAAGAAAGGAGGCCGUGGGCCCUCAAACUUUAGCUUUGUUUAAAAGCCUAUGGGCAUGGCAUGGGGUGAGGUUAGCACCAUAUGGAGAUAAGUUACAAAAGUAAACAUAACAGUUUCAUGAUUUUUCAUUAUAAAUGCUAGUGCUGUGAUAGAUGGUUUAGCAUGGUUGCUGUCCCCUCUGUUGUGAUGUAGGGAUGGGCGUGAUGCAGUAGGCAUCCCACCUAAGGCUGCCCAACAGCCUGUGGAGGUGGAGAAUCAGUGAGUCUCUCUCUCUCUCUCACACACACACACACACACACACACACACACACACGAAAUAUAGGAAUUAUAUGUGGGGGGACCAGUGAGUACAGCACACACCACAACUGAACACAUUUUGUGGGUAAUAACAUUGAUUGAUACUGGGAAGAUGCACAGUGCAAGAGGUGUAUAAUUACAUUUUUAGUGGUGGUAAUGUGUGUAUUAUAUAUCCCUCCCAUUCAUCACAGAGCAGAGCAGUUUUAUUUUUAAGUGAACAUGGCUGGUAAUGGUAAAUAAAAUACGUUUUAAUAAUAAAACAAAGUGUUAUGGAACGAAAUGCAGACAAGAAAAUAACAACAAUUACAAGACAACGAUAAAUUUACAAUUUUGUGAGGUAAAGAAACCUCUUUCUAGAAGCAUGAAAUAAAUCUGUAUUCGAAUCCUAUCCUAUAACACCACUUAUGUACAUACAGUUGAAGUCGGAAGUUUACAUACCGUCACGACUUCUGCCAAAGUCGGUCCCUCUCCUUGUUCGGGCGGUGUUCGGCGGUCGACAUCACCGACCUUCUACCCAUCACUGAUCCAUUUUUCAUUUUCCAUUGGUUUUGCCUUGUCUUCCUUCACACCUGGUUCCAAUUGCAUGUUGUGUAUUUAACCCUCUGUUUCCCCUCAUGUCCUUGUCGGAGAUUGUCUAUUGUAAGUGUUUGUGUACGUCUGUACUGGUGUGCAUCGGGUUAUGUUUACCCAUUGAUUUUUAUUAUUAUGUUUUCCGGUGGGUUUUUUGUGAAUAAACUGCGCCGUUGGAAACACA
Molecule: long non-coding RNA, 1877 nt
Organism: Salmo salar (Atlantic salmon)
Lineage: Eukaryota; Metazoa; Chordata; Actinopteri; Salmoniformes; Salmonidae
Source: RefSeq, a predicted model, not a curated record